This 253-nucleotide ribosomal RNA is filed under the name uncultured bacterium. RNAcentral's name for it is "partial 16S ribosomal RNA". It matches the Rfam family "Bacterial small subunit ribosomal RNA", at positions 524 to 776 of the family's 1533-position model. The record is from RNAcentral.
UACGGGGGGGGCAAGCGUUGUUCGGAAUUACUGGGCGUAAAGCGCGCGUAGGCGGCUUUGUAAGUUAGAGGUGAAAGCCCGGGGCUCAACCCCGGAACUGCCUUUAAAACUGCAUCGCUUGAAUCCGGGAGAGGUGAGUGGAAUUCCGAGUGUAGAGGUGAAAUUCGUAGAUAUUCGGAAGAACACCAGUGGCGAAGGCGGCUCACUGGACCGGCAUUGACGCUGAGGUGCGAAAGCGUGGGGAGCAAACAGG